RNAcentral lists this long non-coding RNA (397 nucleotides) under Vitis vinifera (wine grape). Its description in RNAcentral is "long non-coding RNA (VVIN_LNC007811)". Lineage: Eukaryota; Viridiplantae; Streptophyta; Magnoliopsida; Vitales; Vitaceae. The record is from RNAcentral.
CGGCGUGGGUGAAGGAGGAGGUGAUGAACCAGGCCCGCCGGCUGGAGGAGGAGAUGUUGCAGGCGGCGAAGCUGUAGACGGGCCGGGUGAUCCCUCCGACGGAGGAGGCGCAGGUGGUGAGAUAGCAGUUGGUGAGCUAGCCGGGCUUGGGCUCAUUGAAGGAGUGGCCGCUGGUGGAGGUGACGAUACCGGCGAGGUAGUCGGGGAUGGCGAAAUUGAGGUAGUCGGGGAUGGCGAAAUUGAGGUAGUCGGGGAUGGCGAAAUUGAGGUCGGUGGGGUUGCUGGCGUGGCCACGCUUGGUGGUGGGGUUGCCAUAGUUGUUGGGGGAGUGGCGGUGGGGGGCGUUGCGGUGGAGGGGGGAGACGCUGGAGAGGUGGAGGGGGACUGAGCGAGGGAG